This 497-nucleotide ribosomal RNA is filed under the name uncultured bacterium. RNAcentral describes it as "partial 16S ribosomal RNA". It matches the Rfam family "Bacterial small subunit ribosomal RNA", at positions 28 to 507 of the family's 1533-position model. The record is from RNAcentral.
GAUGAACGCUGGCGGCGUGCCUAAUACAUGCAAGUCGAGCGAACAGACGAGGAGCUUGCUCCUCUGACGUUAGCGGCGGACGGGUGAGUAACACGUGGAUAACCUACCUAUAAGACUGGGAUAACUUCGGGAAACCGGAGCUAAUACCGGAUAAUAUAUUGAACCGCAUGGUUCAAUAGUGAAAGACGGUUUUGCUGUCACUUAUAGAUGGAUCCGCGCCGCAUUAGCUAGUUGGUAAGGUAACGGCUUACCAAGGCAACGAUGCGUAGCCGACCUGAGAGGGUGAUCGGCCACACUGGAACUGAGACACGGUCCAGACUCCUACGGGAGGCAGCAGUAGGGAAUCUUCCGCAAAGGGCAAAAGCCUGACGGAGCAACGCCGCGUGAGUGAUGAAGGUCUUCGGAUCGUAAAACUCUGUUAUUAGGGAAGAACAAAUGUGUAAGUAACUAUGCACGCCUUGACGGUACCUAAUCAGAAAGCCACGGCUAACUACGUG